RNAcentral lists this transfer RNA (72 nucleotides) under Camelus bactrianus (Bactrian camel). It matches the Rfam family "tRNA". Rfam says of the family: Transfer RNA (tRNA) molecules are approximately 80 nucleotides in length. Their secondary structure includes four short double-helical elements and three loops (D, anti-codon, and T loops). Further hydrogen bonds mediate the characteristic L-shaped molecular structure. tRNAs have two regions of fundamental functional importance: the anti-codon, which is responsible for specific mRNA codon recognition, and the 3' end, to which the tRNAs corresponding amino acid is attached (by aminoacyl-tRNA synthetases). tRNAs cope with the degeneracy of the genetic code in two manners: having more than one tRNA (with a specific anti-codon) for a particular amino acid; and 'wobble' base-pairing, i.e. permitting non-standard base-pairing at the 3rd anti-codon position. RNAcentral also lists the same sequence under 3 other names. Lineage: Eukaryota; Metazoa; Chordata; Mammalia; Artiodactyla; Camelidae. The record is from Rfam by way of RNAcentral.
GUAGCUAUAGCUCAGUGAUAGGGUGCAUGCUUAGCAUGCACAAGGCCCUGGGUUCAAUCCCCAGUACCUCCA